GAUUUCCUCCAAGGCCCGCCCAAAGCUGCGGCUGUCACUCAACGCCAACACGCGGGUCACGUGGCCCGAGCUGAGGUCCCCCAUCUUCAGAGACACGCCUUCAGUGGAUUGGCUAGUCCACGGUGGGAGGGGGGGUGCCUUCUGAAAAGGGAUGAUGCAGGAGCUACCUUCUGUUAGUUAUAGGUUGUUUCCUCGUGAGUGAUAGGCCCAGUGUCUGUGCCUAAUGCAUGCAAAUAAAACCGUCCCCAAAUGAUACUCCCAUCUGGGAUUCUGUAGGAUUGUUCCUGAGAAGAGACAAGCCUGAUAUUUGCACCACUUCCAGGCUGAGUUGAGUAAAAAUGAAUUUAGCCAAAUAGCCUGAAGGUAGUAAGUGCUCAAGAUACAGUUGACUGGACAACUCUUCCAUUUCAUCUUUGUGUAUAGGAGCUCUGAAUCACCGGAGAGCAUGUAAGCCCAAAGCCUCUCCAGACCCUAGGGUAUCAGUCGAAGACUGCUCAAGAAUUAUUCUUGUACUUGGCCCCAACUCUAGAUCACAGCAAUUUAUACAUGCCAUCCCUGUUUCAGAGACUGUUCAUUUUCAUCUGCCAAGCCAUCCACUUUUUUCCAAGCCUUCAGUCAAAUAAUGUCUCCUGAAGAAAAAGAAGAGAGAAUGAUAUAACUGUCAGAGUUUUAUCUGAAAGAAGGCAUUAUUAUAUAGAGUUGUGUGUGUGUGUGUGUGUGUGUGUCCAUUUCAAAGUGUAACUGUUAAAGAGAAACAGUUAACUAACUGGUCACUUGUUAAAGAGUCUUCCAUCUUUGACAGGGAAAGGAUUGGGGGAGCAUUCAUUUAACAGCUUUUUAUGAAAUGUGUACUUGGCCUGCUGGCAAUGAGAGAAUGGACCAGAUACAUUCAAGAUGUUUGUCUUCAAGGGGUUUGCAGUCCAUUGAGAGUGAGAAAGACAGGCUGCAGGCCCAUUACCUUAAUAGUCUGUGACCUUCUGAGCUGAGAAACAUGGUUCCUUGCCCUCAAGAGGAUCAAGUUUGGAGAAAGAUAACAUGAUUGUCUACAUAGGAAAUCUGAAUGAAUCAACAGACACCUGAACUAAUAAGUGAAUAUACCAAAGUUGCAAGAUACAAGAUUUUAUUUAUUUAUUUGAGAGAGAGAGAAUGAGAGAGACCAUGAAAGAAAAGGUCAGAGGGAGAAGGAGACUCCCCAUGGAGCUGGGAACCUGAUGUGGGACUUGAUCCCAGGACUCCAGGAUCAUGACCUGAGCUGAAGGCAGUCGCUUAACCAACUGAGCUACCCAGGUGCCCUAACCAUGAUGUUUUUUAGAAGUAAAACUCAUUACAACUAUUCCGAAUCCAUUUUUGGCUAAGUGAGGAGGAAAGUUUUACCAGCUGAUGGCCGUUUGAUGACCUACAUGGAAAGAAUUGGUAGACUCAGGAGAGCACAAUUGAGAGAAGUGAUCACAUCACAAAAUAUGACAUCAUUCUUUGGCACCAGCUGGCAUCCUGGACAUGGAGAAGAGAGAGAGAGGACAAGCAGAGGAAGCAGCAGACAGAGCAGGCAGAUGGAGAAGCAGGCUCCUCGCUGAGCAGGGAGCCUGAUGGUGGGACUCCGUCCCAGGACUCUCGGCUCACGACCUGAGCCGAAGGCAGCCGCCUAACCAACUGAGCCACGCAGGUGUCCCUCCAUACUGUUUUUCAUAGUAACUGUACCACUUUACAUUCUCAGAGUGCAAAAGUGUUAGAAUUUCUCCACAUUUUUGCAAACACUUAUUUUCUGUUUGUUUUUUGUUUGAUAGUAGCCACCUUAAUGGGUGUGAGGUAGUAGCUCAUGAGGAUUUAAUUUGCAUUUCACUACUGAUCAGUGAUUUUGAGCAUCUCCUUGUGUGUUUAUUGGUCAUGUGUAUCACUUCCUUGGAAAAAUAACUUGACUCUUGCCCAUUGGAAAAAUAACUUGACUCUUGCUCCGGGUUCUUUGGAGCUUUUUGUUGUUGAGCUGUUGUUCUUUAUACAUCCUAAAUAUUAACCCCUUGUGACAUAUAUGAUUUGCAAAUAUUAUCUCCCAUUCUGUAAGUUACCUUUUCACUCUAUGGAUCAUGUCUUUUGAUGCACAGGAGUAUUAUGUAGUUUACACACUGUUUUAUGUAGUUCAGUUCAUCUAUUUUUUUUUUUCUUUUGUUGCCUGUGCUUUUACUGUCAUACUCAAGAAAUCAUUGACACAUCCAGUGUCAUGAAGACUUUCUCCUAUGUUUUCUUCUAAGGGCUUUAUCCUAUUUAAUUCUUCACAUGUAGGUUUUUGAUCCAUUCUGAGUUCAUUUUUGUAUAUGAUGUAAGAUAAAAGUUCAACUCCAUUGUUUUUGUAUGUGUUGUGCCAGUUUUCCCAACACCAUUUGUGGAAAAGACUGUCAUUUCCCCCAUUAAAUGGUCAUUGUCACCCUUGUGAAAAAUCAUUUGGCAAUAUAAGUGAAGGUUUAAUUCUGAAAUUUUUAUUCUAUUCCAUGUGUCUAUAUAUCUGUUUUUAUGCCAAUACUACACUUUUUUUUUUAAAGAUUUUAUUUAUUUAUUUGACAGAGAGAACACAAGCAGGGGAUACAGCAGGAGGAGAGGGAGAAGCAGGCUCCCCGCUGAGCAGAGAGCCGGACCUGAGGCUCAAUCUCAGGACCCUGGAAUCAUGACUGGAGCCAAAGGCAGACACUUAAUACCUGAGCCACCCAAGUGCCCCUACGCUGUUUUUACUACCAUGGCUUUGUAGUAAGUUUUGAAUCAGGAAGUAUGAAACAACCAAAUUUGUUCUUCCUUUUGUUUUGGUAAUUCAGGGUCCCUUGAAAUUUCAUAUGAAUUUUAAGAUUUUUUUUUCUAAUUCUUCAAAAGAACUGUUGGGAUUUUGAUAGGAUUUUGAUUGUGUUGGGUCAGUAAGUCACCCUAGGUGGUAUGGGUAUCUUAAUAUUAAGUUUUCAGUUUCAAAUAUAUCUUAAGCCUGGGAACAAGGACCAUUUUUAAAAAGCCAUUUAUUUGGAUGAAAGGAAUUGUAAACAAUUUAUUCUAGGCAAUCAAAACUUCAAGCUCCAAGAAACUGAUAAGGGAGUAAAGAUUGGAGUGGUUUGUUGGUCAAAAAAUUGAAACACGAGCAGUAGAAUUCACUAAUCUGGUGGAAGAGACAACGAUACAGUUAGAUACAGUUUUGUUAUUAUUAAAUUGCUAUGUAUACAAGGUUUUACUUAUGUGUUUUUUAUUCUAUUUCUAUUGAUUAUGUCUAUGGUGACAUGGUGGCACCGUAUUACAUUUUUAAUUAUUGUAAUUUUAUCAUUUGUUUUAAUAGCCACUAGGCCAAUUAUCUAUGCAUUGUUCUUUUCUCAUAAAUAAUUUAAUCUUGGGGCACCUGGGUGGCUUAGUCAUUGAAAUGUCUGCCUUCAGCUCAGGUCAUGAUCCCAGAGUCCUGGGAUCAAACCCCAAGUCCUGCUCCCUGCUCGGUGAGCAGCCUGCUUCUCCCUUUCCCUCUGCCUGUCACUCUGCCUGCUUGUGCUCUUUCUCUCUGUCAAAUAAAUAAAAUCUUUAAAAUAAAUAAAUAAAUAAAAAUAAUUUAAUCUUGUUCAUGAUUUUUUGAAGAAAGUUUUAUGAAAUUUUUAUCAAGUUUAAAAAACAUUCUGAUGAGAAUUUUCACUUAAAUCAUAUUAGAUAUAUGAGUUCACUUGAAGGCACUUGAUAUCUUCAUAAUAUUGAAUCUUCAACAUCCAAGAAUUAGGUAUGACUUUCCAUUUAUUCAAAAUUUAUCUCUCUACAAAAAGUUCUAUUAAUUUCUUUAUAUGCUUCCUACAUAUUGUUAAGUUUGACAUAUUAUAUAAUACACAUUAUAUAAGUUUGAUUAAGCAUUGGAUUUUGAAUUUUAUCUAUUAUAUCAAUCAGGGAUCAACCCAGAACACUGAAGGCACUCUGUGUAAUCCACCUACAGAGUUUAAUAUAGGAAUUGUGGGCUUAUGCAACUCUUAGAAGAACAGGAGACAUAGGAUCAGGGAGUUCAAAAGUAAAGAUUUCAGCCUAUAACACCACAGAAGGUGGUUCUCAAGAAUUCUUGAAAAAGCCAGUAUAGAUCUCAUGUAUGCUCAUUUGUCAGUUUGCAACUGCCUCCAGAGAGUAAUGACCUUUCCUUCUCUUGUGCCCUAUAAACCUCAUGUCAGUGCUUCUUACUGGUAGUCUGUGGCUUCUCCUCUGCUAUAAAAGGGUAAAGAAGUAAUGCUAAGUGAACUACUAUCCAGUCCAAUUUAAGAAGAUCAACAUUGUUGCAAUGAACAUCUAAUUUAUUUUAAUGUGAUAAUUUAUAUGAAUGGGUUUUGUAACAUUAAGCUAUUUUGGGGGGAAAAAAUGCCUAACUCAUUUUGGUGUAUUUUGUGACAUACUGUCAACUUUAAAAUUAUUUUAUUUACUUGAAUUUUUUGAUAUUAUUUUUAUAAAAAUUUUCUGCAAUGAUAUCAUAUUAUGGUAUCUUUGGUUCUGCUACUAAGAUUAUAUUUGCAUUAUAAAAUAAACUAAGAACAUUUCUAUCUUUUCUUGUCUUCUGAAAAUUUAAAUUUAUCACAUGGAAAUUACCUAUUGCUUAUUAACUGGAAAUAACACAAAAAACUUCUGGGCCCAAUACUUUUUUUACCCAUCACACCCCCCCAAUCCAUUUUAUGAGUAAAUGUUGAUCUGUGCUCUUCUCAAUUUAACUGAUACUGUAAUAGAAAUGGAUAAACUUUCCAAAGCUGAAGAAAUAUGUACAUUUGUAAUGGAAAUAGUUCAAUAACUGGACCAGGCUAAAUUAAUUAAAAAAUGGACAAUUAGGAUAAAAAUGUUAAAUUUCAAAGAUAAAAGAAAAUAUUCUAUGACAAAGCAGCCAAUUAACAAAGGUUGCCUAAAAAGGAAUAAAAAUCAGAUUGGCCUUGGGUUUGACCAUAACACUGAAAGGGAGAAAACAAUGUAUCCUCCUUUUGAGACAACAUUUCAUUACCCAAAAUUCUAAACUCAGCUAAAUUGUUCUUUACAUACCAGUCAACAGAAAGGCAUACUCACAUAUGCAGGAGCUCAGAAAUUGUACUGUCUGAAUUUUCUGAAUGAAAACAUUUUGAAAGAGAUGCUUCUGUCCAAUGGGAAAUGCAUCAAAAUAAAUGAUAAAAGAGAGAAGAAAUUGUAAUAAAAAAGAAUUGAAAUGAGCAUCAAUGGCAGUUCAACAUUGCAUUAAAUUUAAAUGUUUGUUGGAAUCACUGAUGCAAAAUUAAUGCAAACAUCAAAACAUUAAGAAAUGUCUAAUACAAAAUAUUUUCUAAGAUUAAAGACAGUCAUUAAUGGGAUUUAAAACAGCAUGGCAAAGACCUAAAAUAGUUGUAUGAGCUUGGGCAUGAGGCAGUUUGUUUUGCAGUCACUGUUGAUAAAAUAAUCUAAUCAUUUCAUAAAAUAAUUUGGGGGACCCCUGGGUGGCGCAGUCAGUUCAGUGUCUGACUCUUGGUUUCAGUUCAGUUCCUGAAUUUAGUGGUGUGGGAUCGGGCCCCACAUUGGCACUACAAUCAGCAAGGAGUCUGCUUGAUUCUCUCUCCCUCUGCCCCUUCCACUUGUGCUCUCUCUCUGACUAAAAUAAAUAAAUUAAAUCUUUUUAAAAAAAGAUAAUUUAGAACUUUUUAAAAAUUCAUACCUUAUAACCCAGUAUUUCUACAAUUAGAAAUUUGUUCUAAGGAAUAAGGAAAUAACAUGCAAGAUUUGUCUUUAAACUCUUGUUUAUAAUAGAAAAUAUAUGGACCUAUCAUAUUCUGUCCUAUGCCUUGGUCUCUAUAUUUGUUUCUUUUGUUUUUUAAAUAUCUUAUUUAUUUAUUUGAGAGAGAGAGAGAGACAGAGACAGAGAUAACUAGAGAGAGCGUGAGCAGGGAGGAAAGAGAAAAGCCGGCUCCCUACUGAGCAGGCAUGGGGGGUGGUACUCAAUCCCAGGACCCUGGGAUCAUGACCUGAGCCAAAGACAGAUGCUUAACUGACUGAGCCACCCACAUGCCCCUCUAUAUUUGUUUUCUAAAUACUAAUUUUAUUUCCUGUAAUGUUGCUUCAUUUCUUAUUAAGAUCUUGUAAAAUCUCAUUGCAUUUUUAAUUAAUUGAAUCCCCUUUUUCUAAUUCAACUACUUGGAAAUUUUGUCCUUUUUUUUUUUUUUUUUUAAUUACCUCUCUUUGUCUCAAUUUACAGAUUUGCCCUCUGAUCUUUCUUCUGUUUAUAGAAAUCAGGUUCUCCUGAAUUUUAUUUAAAAUACACAGGAGAUGUUCUUUUUUAAAAUACGGCACCACUUCCACUAUAACCAAGGGAAUCUCUUGAAUGUUAUGUCAGGUGAAUGGUACUCUUCCAUAGGUUCCUGUGCUGUUGCUGAGAUUAACUGUCUUUUGCAUCUCAAAAGAAACAUGUUAAAAGAGGAGUUAGCCAGCUGUGCCCUGUACCAUGCCCGCAGGAAGUGCCCUUUGAAUGGUGCUGUA
This is a long non-coding RNA of Mustela lutreola (European mink), 6465 nucleotides long. RefSeq lists it as uncharacterized. The transcript has 6 exons. Lineage: Eukaryota; Metazoa; Chordata; Mammalia; Carnivora; Mustelidae. The record is from RefSeq and is a predicted model, not a curated record.